GCGCACGUGGCGGAAUUGGUAGACGCGCUAGCUUGAGGGGUUAGUGAUCUUAAGAUCGUGGAAGUUCGAGUCUUCUCGUGCGCA
RNAcentral lists this transfer RNA (84 nucleotides) under Bacteroidetes bacterium MedPE-SWsnd-G2. RNAcentral's name for it is "tRNA-Leu". It matches the Rfam family "tRNA". From Rfam's summary of the family: Transfer RNA (tRNA) molecules are approximately 80 nucleotides in length. Their secondary structure includes four short double-helical elements and three loops (D, anti-codon, and T loops). The record is from RNAcentral. Lineage: Bacteria; Pseudomonadati; Bacteroidota.